This 501-nucleotide long non-coding RNA is filed under the name Anser brachyrhynchus (Pink-footed goose). RNAcentral describes it as "lncRNA (ENSABRG00000020254.1)". Lineage: Eukaryota; Metazoa; Chordata; Aves; Anseriformes; Anatidae. The record is from RNAcentral.
AUCAAAGAGGAGGAACUUUAUACUGUGAUUCAAUGAAGUGUAGUGUUUUUACUUAAAUAUUGCUUAUUCGGUUUUGAAGGAGUGAAAAAAUGCAGAAAACUUGAGGAACAUAAGAUAUGUGACAUUACAGAGGCUCUUCGGUCCUGGAGAGUUGAUAAGUCUGUUUUUCCAGUUGAAGAUCAGCGUGUGUGAACCUUCUUCCAAAGCAGGAAACUUUAAAUGGACUUCCAGCAAGUGCUGAGCUGCAGGGCUUUACAUAUCAGCAGUGCCACUGAAAUCAGCAGAAAAUUUGUGGAACAAGACGUUGAAGAUCUUUCCCUAAUCAGAGAAGGUAACAGAACUAGUCUUAGUGAAGAAAGCUGUGACAGAGCAGGAAAACCCAUCUGACUGUGUGCUUUUCAAUCUCUUUAUUCUUUCCUAAUAUGUUUUUCUUUAUCAUCAUCCACUUAACCUCCAGAGUGUUGUCUUCUAAUUCUGCUGUCACUUUUGACCUCAUUUUAC